RNAcentral lists this ribosomal RNA (253 nucleotides) under uncultured bacterium. Its description in RNAcentral is "partial 16S ribosomal RNA". It matches the Rfam family "Bacterial small subunit ribosomal RNA", at positions 524 to 776 of the family's 1533-position model. The record is from RNAcentral.
GACAGAGGGGGCAAGCGUUGCUCGGAAUCACUGGGCGUAAAGGGCGCGUAGGCGGGAUGGCAAGUCAGUCGUGAAAUCUCUCGGCUCAACCGAGAAACGUCGGCUGAUACUGCCGUGCUUGAGGGAUGCAGAGGAGACUGGAAUUCCCGGUGUAGCGGUGAAAUGUGUAGAGAUCGGGAGGAACACCGGUGGCGAAGGCGGGUCUCUGGGCAUGUUCUGACGCUGAGGAGCGAAAGUGUGGGGAGCGAACAGG